This is a long non-coding RNA of Rhinichthys klamathensis goyatoka, 328 nucleotides long. RefSeq lists it as uncharacterized. The transcript has 3 exons. The record is from RefSeq and is a predicted model, not a curated record. Lineage: Eukaryota; Metazoa; Chordata; Actinopteri; Cypriniformes; Leuciscidae.
UUGUGCUUCUCAGUAAAUAUCAGUAAAAGCAAAGUUUUGUUGUCUGAAUUGGAUAAGGACAAAUCAGAUAACAUUAACCCAAUUGCAAUUGCUAUUCUUACACAGCAGAACCUGGACCAGGAUUCCUCUGACCACAACUCUGACAGUGGCUCAGAAGACGCACAUGACGGUGGUGGGAUUACUAACCUGGACCAGGAUUCCUCUGACCACGACUCUGACAGUGGCUCAGAAGACGCACAUGACGGUGGUGGGAUUACUAACCUGGACCAGGAUUCCUCUGACCACGACUCUGACAGUGGCUCAGAAGACGCACAUGACGGUGGUGGGA